CAACCAUCAAGCCCUGGGCUUGUGUUGGGGACCUGCGGCUGCCGCAGGCCCUGAAAUGCAGUGGCGGGCUCGCAAGACACACCGAGCGUAGUAGCUUACAACCUCGCUUUGGGAGUGCUGCGGGUGCUGGCCGUAAAGCGACCUUUGCGUCUUUAGCACUA
RNAcentral lists this unclassified non-coding RNA (161 nucleotides) under Mycothermus thermophilus. Its description in RNAcentral is "partial internal transcribed spacer 2". The record is from RNAcentral. Lineage: Eukaryota; Fungi; Ascomycota; Sordariomycetes; Sordariales; Chaetomiaceae.